UUGAAAGGGAAACGAUUGAAGUCAGUCGUACCUGUGGGUAAUCAGCCUUUUGGGUGUGAUUUUGUGGAGUGUGAGGAGUUAAACGCCUUCAUGCCUGCAUAUUCGUGCACUUUGGGUGUAUUUACCCGUGUGGUAAGUUAACAUCAAUUUCGGUGGUCAUAAAAUGGCUGGAGGAAUGUAGCUUCGAUCUUGUAUUGAAGUGUUAUAGCCUUCGGUAGAUGUGAUGAUCGGGAUUGAGGAUUGCAACGGAUACCUUCGGGGCUACCUGUCUGAUCUCUGAUCGUUGCUCUGGUGCCGAAAGCUUGCUUACGGGUAUCAAAGUCGAUGGUCAAUAGCUUAGAAUGGGUUAACUUCGUUAAGGAUGUUGACGUA
RNAcentral lists this ribosomal RNA (372 nucleotides) under uncultured Glomeromycotina. RNAcentral describes it as "LSU rRNA". The record is from RNAcentral. Lineage: Eukaryota; Fungi; Glomeromycota.